UCGCGUAUGGUGUAGCGGUAACAUAGCUGACUCUCAUGGUUUUUCUGAUGAACCAAGAAAAGUUUCUCAGCAGCCCGGGGUUCGACUCCCCGUAUGCGAG
Molecule: non-coding RNA, 100 nt
Organism: Echria macrotheca
Lineage: Eukaryota; Fungi; Ascomycota; Sordariomycetes; Sordariales; Schizotheciaceae
Source: the annotation of a GenBank genome assembly